RNAcentral lists this ribosomal RNA (468 nucleotides) under uncultured bacterium. RNAcentral describes it as "partial 16S ribosomal RNA". It matches the Rfam family "Bacterial small subunit ribosomal RNA", at positions 28 to 507 of the family's 1533-position model. The record is from RNAcentral.
GACGAACGCUGGCGGCGUGCUUAACACAUGCAAGUCGAACGGAAAGGCCCUGCUUUUGUGGGGUGCUCGAGUGGCGAACGGGUGAGUAACACGUGAGUAACCUGCCCUUGACUUUGGGAUAACUUCAGGAAACUGGGGCUAAUACCGGAUAGGAGCUCCUGCUGCAUGGUGGGGGUUGGAAAGUUUCGGCGGUUGGGGAUGGACUCGCGGCGUAUCAGCUUGUUGGUGGGGUAGUGGCUUACCAAGGCUUUGACGGGUAGCCGGCCUGAGAGGGUGACCGGCCACAUUGGGACUGAGAUACGGCCCAGACUCCUCCGGGAGGCAGCAGUGGGGAAUAUUGCACAAUGGGCGGAAGCCUGAUGCAGCAACGCCGCGUGCGGGAUGACGGCCUUCGUGUUGUAAACCGCUUUCGCCUGUGACGAAGCGUGAGUGACGGUAAUGUGUAAAGAAGCACCGGCUAACUACGUG